Molecule: ribosomal RNA, 483 nt
Filed under: uncultured bacterium
Lineage: Bacteria
Description: SSU rRNA
Rfam family: Bacterial small subunit ribosomal RNA
Source: RNAcentral
AGAACGAACGCUGGCGGCAUGCCUAACACAUGCAAGUCGAACGCUUCCGGGGCUUCGGUCGCGGAGGAGUGGCGCACGGGUGAGUAGCGCGUGGGAACCUGCCCUGUUGUGGGGGAUAACCGAGGGAAACUUCGGCUAAUACCGCAUACGCCCCGGGACUUGGUCUUCGGAUUAGGUCUGGGGGGAAAGAUUGAUCGCAGCAGGAGGGGCCCGCGUCGGAUUAGCUGGUUGGUGGGGUAACGGCUCACCAAGGCGAUGAUCCGUAGCUGGUCUGAGAGGAUGAUCAGCCACACUGGGACUGAGACACGGCCCAGACUCCUACGGGAGGCAGCAGUGGGGAAUAUUGGACAAUGGGGGCAACCCUGAUCCAGCAAUGCCGCGUGAGUGAUGAAGGCCUUAGGGUUGUAAAGCUCUUUCGCCCGCGACGAUGAUGACGGUAGCGGGAGAAGACGCCCGGCUAACGUUCGUGCCAGCAGCCGCGGU